GAUGAACGCUGGCGGCGUGCCUAAUACAUGCAAGUCGUGCGAACAGACGCGGCGCUUGCUCCCCUGACGUUAGCGGCGGCCGGGUGCGUAACACGUGGAUAACCUACCUAUGAGACUAGGAUAACUUCGGGAAACCGGAGCUAAUACCGGAUAACAUAUUGCACCGCCUGGUUCAAUAGUUCAGGAGGGUUUUGCUGUCCCUUAUACCUGCAUCCGCGCCGCAUUGGCUGGUGGGUAAGGUAACGGCUUACCAAGGCGACGAUGCGUAGCCGACCGGAGCGGGGGGUCGGCCACACUGCAGGUGAGAGACGGUCCAGACGCCUACGGAAGGCAGCAAUAGGGAACCGUCCGCGAUGGGCGAAAGACUGAACGAGGAACGCCGCGGGAGUGAAGAAGGCCUUCGGGUCGUAAAACUCUGUUAUUGGGGAAGAACAAUUGUGUCAGUGACUAUGCACGUUGUGACGGUACCUACACAAAAAGCCACGGCUAACUACGUG
RNAcentral lists this ribosomal RNA (497 nucleotides) under uncultured bacterium. RNAcentral describes it as "partial 16S ribosomal RNA". It matches the Rfam family "Bacterial small subunit ribosomal RNA", at positions 28 to 507 of the family's 1533-position model. The record is from RNAcentral.